This 492-nucleotide ribosomal RNA is filed under the name uncultured bacterium. RNAcentral describes it as "partial 16S ribosomal RNA". It matches the Rfam family "Bacterial small subunit ribosomal RNA", at positions 29 to 507 of the family's 1533-position model. The record is from RNAcentral.
AUUGAACGCUGGCGGCAUGCUUUACACAUGCAAGUCGAACGGUAACAGGCCUUCGGGUGCUGACGAGUGGCGCACGGGUGAGUAAUGCAUCGGAACGUACCCAGAGGUGGGGGAUAACGCAGCGAAAGCUGUGCUAAUACCGCAUGUGAUCUGAGGAUGAAAGCGGGGGACCGAGCAGCAAUGUUUGGCCUCGCGCCUUUGGAGCGGCCGAUGUCGGAUUAGCUAGUUGGUGGGGUAAAGGCCUACCAAGGCGACGAUCCGUAGCUGGUCUGAGAGGACGACCAGCCACACUGGGACUGAGACACGGCCCAGACUCCUACGGGAGGCAGCAGUGGGGAAUUUUGGACAAUGGGCGCAAGCCUGAUCCAGCAAUGCCGCGUGCGGGAAGAAGGCCUUCGGGUUGUAAACCGCUUUUGGCAGGAACGAAACGGUGUCCGCUAAUACCGGGCGCUAAUGACGGUACCUACAGAAUAAGCACCGGCUAACUACGUG